GAUGAACGCUGGCGGCGUGCCUAAUACAUGCAAGUCGAGCGAACAGACGAGGAGCUUGCUCCUCUGACGUUAGCGGCGGACGGGUGAGUAACACGUGGAUAACCUACCUAUAAGACUGGGAUAACUUCGGGAAACCGGAGCUAAUACCGGAUAAUAUAUUGAACCGCAUGGUUCAAUAGUGAAAGACGGUUUUGCUGUCACUUAUAGAUGGAUCCGCGCCGCAUUAGCUAGUUGGAAGGUAACGGCUUACCAAGGCGACGAUGCGUAGCCGACCUGAGAGGGUGAUCGGCCACACUGGAACUGAGACACGGUCCAGACUCCUACGGGAGGCAGCAGUAGGGAAUCUUCCGCAAUGGGCGAAAGCCUGACGGAGCAACGCCGCGUGAGUGAUGAAGGUCUUCGGAUCGUAAAACUCUGUUAUUAGGGAAGAACAAAUGUGUAAGUAACUAUGCACGUCUUGACGGUACCUAAUCAGAAAGCCACGGCUAACUACGUG
This 496-nucleotide ribosomal RNA is filed under the name uncultured bacterium. RNAcentral's name for it is "partial 16S ribosomal RNA". It matches the Rfam family "Bacterial small subunit ribosomal RNA", at positions 28 to 507 of the family's 1533-position model. The record is from RNAcentral.